UCUUAACCAUGAAUUUAACAUAUAUCUUGAACUAAAUCUCCGGAUUAAAUGAUGAAAAUGGUACAAGUUGAAGGAGUCAUUUUCAGUCAUGGUAUAAAAUGAACUAAAUAUACUUAAAAAGAGCUCCAAGAGUGUGAAACAUGAUGAGAGCUUUGACAAAUGAAAAUGAAGAAAUUCAUAGCAUGAAAGAUGUUAAAUGAGGGUUAUGUAAAGUGUUGGAGAGAAAGAAAACAUGAAAAAAAAAAAAAAGGUUACAAGUCAUAGCUUGAAGUUUGAACAUGUGAAUUAGAACUCAAAAUUUAACAACAAUGUACUCCGACUUUGAGGUGAAAUAUGGAGCACUUCUUGAUAUCAUUUUUGGGUGUGCUAUAUAUUGUUUUGAAGCUUGAGAAGGCAAGAGUCCAAUGCUUCAAAUUGUGUGCAAAUUGAAGUUGAAACAAGGAGUAUAUGUGCAUUUGAAGCAAGCUACUCAGAGAAUAAUAAUGAGUUCAAAAUGGUUUUUGGUCAUUUAAAACUUAAAGGAAUACAAAAAUACUUCUGUCAUAAACUGAGUUUGAAUCCCUCCUACCUAUUUCAAACAAAAGACACGUUUCAAAUCUGAGAACAUGACGAAAUGACAUGGUUGGUUGUUGAGUUCAAAAUUCACAGUGAAUUUUGAAUUCACCUUCUUGAUUUCAAAUUGAGCACUUUUCCCCAACAUGGCCUUAGGGUUUUCUUGGACUUUCCUUACUGUGGGCUUUAGGUGACACUCAACAGCCGGGGGUGGAUAUUCAUUGUCCGAACGAAGCUACUGUUGGGGCCACCGGAUCUACACACUCAUUGUUUUCCCAACGGUUAAGCUCAUACCUUUUUUCCCCAAAGCUUAGAUGUUAAUUUCUUCAUAAUAACAUCACCUACCAGCAGCAGCAGCAGGAGCCGACAAACUUUGAUGGAGUAAGAAGAAGGGCACUUUACUGAUACAGGAGUCCAAUCAUGGGAACUAUUUGCAAUUCAACUCCCAAUGGACUUUAUCAGCCAUAGUCAGUGAUCAUGCAUAUUGUACUCCUGCAAAAGCCACUACAAAAUUUACCUAACAAGAAUUUUGUCACUUUAGUAAGUUACAGCUAGCUGCACUUGAAGUAGGUCAGGACUCAAAGCAACAAGGACAUGAUGCAGCUAGAUUCAACGAACCAUUUUCUUAUGAUCCUGAGCGGAUAACUAUAACCAGUCUUGUGAUCUUGUGGUGGGUAAAGCUAAAGAAUUGCAAACCACAUAUUGAAAUUUCCAUUUGUCUUCUCACUAAAAAAAGAAAAAAAAAGAGGGGAAAAAAAAAAAACAGUCCUGUUAUGCACCCUUUCCUAAUGACAACCGGCAGCUUUAGCCGCCAUAAGCAUAAGAUUUUUUUAUUUUUUUCUUAAAUUUUUAUUCUUGAAUCUGCAGUAUUCAUCUUAGUGCUGAUCAUGAUGUAUUAUAAUAAUUGGUUCAGCGGGGCCAGAGUUAAUCUGGAAUCCAAGUUUUUGACACUCAAUGAAUAGAUCCCUUCGGAAAAUUGAAAGAGAGAAGCCCACUAGGUUUUCCUCUAAGUAGCUUAAAGGAAGGACCAAUAACUUCAGCUACUUGCUGGGAUCAGGUGGGUUUGUGGCAGUUUAUAAAGGGAGAUUUGCUGAUGGCACACCGGUGGCAGUAAAGGUUCCUAGAGCUAGGGAGCUACGCUAAGAGAAUCGAGGAACAUUUCAUGGCAGAAGUGAGUACCAUUGGAAGUGUCCAUCAUCUCAACCUGGUUCAGAUCCAUGGCUUCUGCUUCCACAGAUUUGAGAGCUCUGGUGUGAGUAUAUGGAUCAUGGCACGCUUGACAACCAUCUGUUUCAAGUAAACCAGUUGGAAUUCGGGAAGUUUCACGAGAUUUCUGUUGGCACAACCAAAGCCAUUGCGUAUUUGCACAAAGAAAUGCCAACAGAGAACCACUAUGAUAUAAAGCCCGGAAACGUUCUCUUGGACUCCAACUUCACCCCUAAAGUAGCUGACUUGGGCUUGGCCAAGCUUUGCAACAGAGACAUCACCCAUAUGACCUUGACAGGAGGAAGAGGAACACCUGGGUAUGCCGCCGCAUCCGAACUGUAGCUGCCCUUCCCUAUAACCCUUAAUGUGAAUGUUACAGAGGGUCAAGGGUGAUUCCUAAUAUUGGUUUGGAAUAAAUUAGCGAGUGAUGAUAUGGAUGAACUUAUGGUUGUCUGUGGUAUUGAGGAGAACAGAUCCAAGGUAGAGAACAUGGCAAAGGUAGCUCUAUGGUGUGUUCAGUACAAGCCAAAAGCAAGGCCUUCAGUGACCGUGGAGCUGAAAGGGUUGGAGGAAGCCAUAAGUAUUCCUACACCUUUAUCACUACUUCAUAGGGGGUUCCACUGCUGAUAUCCCCACCACCUAUACCACAGGGACAACCUCCAGCUUUGAUUCGGGUUCCCCUCAAAACAAGUGAGGUGGGUAGCGUUUGGAGGCAAAAGUAAUUAAAAGGGAAACAGAAAGGAGAGGAGGAGCAGAACCUAACCUAACUCAACCAGAACGCCAUAAAGAAACUGACACAAAGUGUAGUGGUGGAGCUCCUAUAACUGAAAGAAUAAACUGGGCCAUUAAAAAGACAAAUCGGGCUUUCAAAAUGGGCGAAGUUGAUCACAAGUCACAUAUGAAACACCAAACUUUGCAGCCUUGUUGGUUGAUACAGAAGCGGACAAACCAUUUUCUGGAACGGCAAAGUAGCAGCUAGCGGUGUUUGUUGUGGUGUGGCAAACACAAUUGCUUCCACAGGCGGUCUGCUACUUUCUCACAAGCAAAUAGGGGUUCACAGCAGCAACAUAUUGGGAUUGGGCCUUCGCAGCUGUGCUGAAGAACCCAUUAGGAAGGAUGCCCACGACUGGGACCACCACAUCAAUGAUGCCUACAACUGCAUGCACAUUGUGGUGCAGUAGAUUCCUACAUGUGUGGCCUUACCCUACUACCCCAACUUCACACGCCCUAUGAUCUGCCCUAAUGCCAUAACAAACCCUACAAGUCUUUUCAAAAACUUUGGCUCUGCCAUGACCUUGAAGGAAAUCUAGUUGGGAUGCUGAAUUAUUGCAUUUUGGUCUCUCUCUCUCUCUCUCUCUCCCUUCUCCUCCCUCCCACACCCCACCCCCCACCACCCACCACACACCGCUCUCUCUCUCUCUCUCUCUCUCUCUCUCUCUCAAUUGUGAGUUCCUCUUCAUGCAUACUCUUCCCGCUACUAAAAUUUCCAUAGCCUAUCUAUCUGGGCUUUAUGUUUGUUAAUGAAAAUCCACAAAGAGAAGAGCAAGGGAGAGAAUUUGAGCUGGGACUCAGCUGUCCGCGGCAAAGACAAUUGGAACAUGAUACUGGCGAAGUUGUAAGGUCGUGUAGCCCCCUUAUCAAUAAGCGACAAGUCAUAGAGGAGGUAGCCACAAACUUGAGCUCUAUUCUACAAGAAGGUGGAGGCUCUCCUAAGUGGUCCUUUCUAUGCAUAUCACUUAACUAACAACAUGAUCAAUGAUGGUGAAUGGUUCAGGCAAAUUAUAUUGGAGGUCUGAUUUUCAUCUCAUACCCAGGUAACAUCACUUUUUUUUCCCCAAGUACUACAAAACAAUUGCCUCUUAGGUCCACAUAUACUGCAUCAAUUAGUUAUUUCAUUUCAUAAUCACAACAAGACAAAUAAGAUGAUGAAUUAAGCACACAGCACUAUCAUAACAAUGAGCAUACUGCACAUUUAAACUCUAACCUUUCCGGAGUGGGAUUUACUACGUUUCCCUUUCUUUUUCCCUUGCUUAUUGAUUCUCAAGUGCUUAAACUUCUGCGCUCACCCUUUUUGGUUGGGAUAUUUGGUGUAUCUUACUAUCAAAACCAUUUUACCUGUUUCGAAGGGCAAAAUACACAAUUUCUACAAUUUUUUUACCACUAUAUUAUUUUUUAAAAAUGAAAAUCUUUUCCUAUGAACUUCUCUAUAUCCUUCUAUAAUGUAAGAUGAAAAAACCUGUGAUCUAGUGACACACUGACAGAAAUAUAAGAUCCCAAUCCUGUCAUAAACAACAUGGCAUUUGCAUAAAUAUCAUAUAUGCAAUGUAUACUUCAAAUCCAUGACCACUUUUCCAUGUGGAACAAGGGCAUAUUGCUUAUUCUAUCACUCAUGCUUCUAUAUUGUCAUUUCAUUAAACAAACACCUGUUUCCAAAUCUUUGCUCCAGAAAAUAUGUUAUACCUUUUGAUUUAAUUUUGCCUUGUUUAUGUACAAUAGGAAUUAUAGUCAGGAAAAAUAAUAAUAAGACAUAAAAAUUGGUGGUACAUUAACUUUCCAAACCCUAAUUACCUAUCAAAAAAAAAAUUAACUUUCCAAACCCUAAUGUAACACUUUAUCCAAUUAACAGGCUUAAUGAAAUUUGUUUCCGAUUCUUCACCCAAAAUAAGUGUGUAUGCUAUAUAUUUUCUCCAUUGGCUUGGGACUCAAAUAGCCUUACUCCUUUCCUGAAUAACUUACUUAAUUUUUUAGGCAAUGGUUGAUUUAGAUUAGCUUCUGGAGUCUGGACCAGAUUGAAUUUGACAUUUAUAUUAACAUAACAUUAAAGUGACUUAAAAUCCAAAAAACAGAAGUUUGGCCAGAUGAGGAUAAUUAGGGUUUAAUAACAUGUUAAAUCACACUCUUGUAGUCCAAACAUGUUUGGCCUUUGGUUAUAUUUUGAAGAAUUGCCUUAAUAUAGUGAAUAUUUCAUUAUAAUGUUAAUGCUUGUUGUAUGACUGCUAUUUGUUUCUGAUAAUUAAAUGAUUCUGGAAUGAUUAAAUGAUUUCAUUUCUGUAAUGAUUGUAUGUGUGUGUGUAAGAUCAGGUAAAAGAUUAAACUAUUCUUUUUUAAUUUCAUUUUUAUGUUCAUACAACUUAAUUCCAUCUCCUAUGUAUCCCUCUACUGUAUACAGUUCAUUUGCUUUUCAUUAUUAGUUUAUUUCUCAUUUCCCAUUUCCCAUAUCCACUCAGGCCUUGGGCAUCUUUGCUAAUGAUAGAUCCUUUGCCUAAAAAUACUCUGAACUAGAAUGAAGCUGCCUGCAGAAGAUGACUACUCCAUUCCAGUGUAGUUUUAGCAUGCAAUGGCAUAAUUUGUUAGUCAGGUCAGUGCUCUAAGCAUUUAUCCUAAGUGGGUUGACAAUUAUGUUUAAACUUUUACUAGC
Vitis vinifera (wine grape) is the source of this 5176-nucleotide long non-coding RNA. RefSeq lists it as uncharacterized. The record is from RefSeq and is a predicted model, not a curated record. The transcript has 3 exons. Lineage: Eukaryota; Viridiplantae; Streptophyta; Magnoliopsida; Vitales; Vitaceae.